RNAcentral lists this long non-coding RNA (657 nucleotides) under Mytilus galloprovincialis (Mediterranean mussel). Lineage: Eukaryota; Metazoa; Mollusca; Bivalvia; Mytilida; Mytilidae. The record is from RNAcentral.
GUCUAGCAUGUCUAGCUGAUUAUACAUUUUGAACAUGUUGAAGGAAAUGUGUGUUUUAAAUGAUGAAUUGAAUUUAUCUACAUUUAAGUGGGCUUGCAGGUCUAAAUCAUUUUUUUUUAUUUGAUAUAGGAUUUCGUUAUAUUUUUCUAUAAAUUAACUUUAUCUUAAACUUAUUAGAAAAAUGAAAUAAAAACAUGGGGUCACCGAUCAUUUAUGCUCACAAUCUGCCUUCGAAAGAAGGAUACAUUUUUGUUAGUGUCCUUUUUUUCGUUGAACUAAUAGUAGAAAUAGCGGUAAUAUCGAAGUAACAAUGAAUAAAAAAAGAACUAAAUACAGAAAUCGCUUAAAUUUUACAAUUAUUUAGUUUAUGUACAGCUUAUUCGAAAACAACAAUAAAAAAUAUAGGUCACCAAUGAGUUAAAAAAGAUAUUUUAAUUUUAAUGCCAAAAAAUGUCAUUUUUGGACCAAAGGGAGAUAAUUUAGAGCUGUUUCAAUGAUACCUACAAUUUAAAAGUCAUCUGGGGCCAACACGAAUUGACCUUUUUGGAAUAGUUUUUGUACCAUAUGAUAAAGCAACAAGUACUUAAGGUAAUAAAUAAAAUUUGUAAUGAAAAAUAAAUGUUUGAUUUUUUGUUGAAAAUCUUAUACCCGCGAGCA